UUUUUUUUUUUUUUGUCUUUUUAGGGCCACAACUAUGGUACAUGGAAAUUUCCAGGCUAAGAGUCAAAUAAGAGCUAUAGCUGCUGGCCUAUGCCACUUCCACAGCAAUGCCAGAUCCAAGUCACAUCUGCAAUCUAUGCCACAGCUCAUGGCAAUGCUGAAUCCCUAACACACUAAGUGAGGCCAGGGAUUGAACCCACAUCCUCAUGGAUACUAUUUGGGUCUUAACCUGCUGGGCCACAAUGAGAACUCCUCGUAAUAACUAUAAUUACUAAAAUAUAGUACUGGUGUUUGGCAAGAUCAAUAGAACAAUAGAGAAAAACUCUAAAAUAAUUGGAUUGUGGGGCAGACAGCUAUAAAGAAAAAGUUUGAUCCAUGCUUCACACUAUAAUAUAAGCUUUAAACAAGUAUUAAAUGUGAAACAUAAGCCAUACAAGUUUUGAAAGAAUGCCUAUGAUGAUUUCUCCAAAAUUUUAGAGUGAGGACGCCCUUUCUAACUUAAUCAAAAGGAAAAAAAUAGGUACAUUUGAUUACUUAAACAAUACAAAGUUUUGCAAAGUAAAAAAUUUAUUGAUAUAUGGCAGUUAAAAGACAAUCAAAAAAUAGAAAAAAAUGUUUUCAAUUCAUAACACAAGAGAAAAAGGUGCUCUACAAGAAGUUGAGAAGAAUAUUAAUAACCCCCAAAAGAAAAAUGAGAUAAGAAUAAAAACAAAGAGUUUAUAAAAAAAGUACAAAUGUCCCUUAAACAUGUAAAAAGUUGCUAAGUCUCAAUUAUGAUGAAAGAACUGCAAAUUAAAACUACAUUUCAGUACCAGAUUUCAUUUUUCAGAUCAAUAAAAAUCCCCAAAGUUUGGCAACAGCCAUUUGGUAAGGUUAUAGGAAGACAGACUCUCAGAUAUCUCCAGUGAGACUGCACAAUGGUACAAUGGUUAGCAAAGGUAGUUUGGCAAUUUCUCUCUUUUGAUUCAGCAUUCCCACUCCUUGGAAUUUAUUCAACAGAUAUACCUGCACAUGUUUAAGAUGAUACAUGUGCCAGAUUGUUCAUCCAGUAUUGUAAUAGCAAAACAUUAGCAACGAGCUAGGAUUCCAUCCAAUAGGAGAAUGGUUAAAUAAUCCAUGAUAUAUCUACAGAUGAAAUACUAUGUUGUUGUCGGAAAAAAAGAAGAAAUUCUCUGUUUACAAAUAUGAAAGUUCUAUGAGAUAUAAAUGUAAAACAGCAAGAGUGAGAUCAAAGCAUGAGAUAUUUUUUGAUACCUAGGAGGAAACUUAGAAUACGUAUUCAUAUUUUCCUACGCUUGCAUAGAAACACUAGAAGGAUAUAAAACACUUAAAGAAAAGUUGUUUGCAACUGGAGAUAUGCCUGGGGUCCUGGUCAUGGACGUAAGACUGAGAUAUUUUACGGAUGAGUUUUUGUUGUUAUUGCUGUUUUUUUCUUUUUUUUCCUUUUUUUUUUUUUUAACUUCUUGAAAACACAUGAAUGGAGUGGAUAAAUAAUGAGAUCCUGCUGUAUAGCACAGGGAACUAUAUCCAGUCACUUGUGAUGGAACAUAAUGGAGAGUAAUGUGAGAAAAAGAAUGUGUGUGUGUGUGUGUGUGUGUGUGUGUACAUAUAUAUAUGACUGAGUCAUUUGCUGUAUAGCAGAAAUUGACAGAACAUUGAAAAUCAACUAUAAUAGAUAAAAUAAAAAUCUUACAAAAAUAAUUAAAAUACAGUAAUACUUCUUUUUCAGUUUUUGUUUUUUUUGGUUUUUUUUUUUUCCCACUGUGGGUUUUGACAGUUAUUCUUUCCACCAUUACCUGGGGUCAAAUACUUAGGCUUAUUUAUGUAUUAUCUCCUGGAAAAUACAAAAGUGACCCUGCCCUCACUGGUGCCUUCACAAACGUUUCACUUUCAAAAGAGAAAUCAGUUAAUGAUGUUCUCUGGCUAUUUGGACUCCAGGAAACAAAAAGCCUAGUUUUGCCUUUUAUAUUCCCUGCUGAGCUCCCAGCUGACUGACAGCUAGAAUGCUCUGAGUUUACUUGUCUGGGGAGGCAGAAAACAACAGAAAGCAUCCAGCACUUAUUUUCCAAUAUAUUUCCUUCUCCGCUGAAUUUUGAAAAGGUUCCCUCCAGCUAAAACUGGUUAGGCUUCUUUCUAGAGAUGUUGAGUGCAGACUGCAGCCAUGCAGGUUUUUUUGAUUGGUUGUUUUUUGUUUUUUAUUUUUAAAUUGAGGUUUAGCGCCUGGCUCCCACCUCUUCUACCUGAACACCACCUCCAUUUCUGAGAGUCUGGAUCUUUAACUACUAAGAGAGAAUGAACAUGUAGUUAGUGUGUUUACAGUCAGUUUCUUUUCACUGUUUAACCAACAUGGUCACAAAUAAAAAGUGAAGGACUCUUCUGAGUAUGAUUAUGGGAAGCAGGCACUAGGCCACAAAGGAUCCUGGAAACACUAUCUGAAGGAAAAGAAUCCACUCAAUUUGAUUUCUUAGCCUCAUUUCAAAUUCCUUCUCAUUCUAUGUGAAAUAUUAAGAGCUGAGAGAUGAAAUAAAAUGGUUGUGACACUUCCUUUCAGAAUACCUUUAAUGAAAAAAAAGACUUCUUUAAAGAAAAAUUAUUUUUCAGUUAUUCAUGGACAACUUAGUUCCCAUAAUUCCUGCAGAAGCUGCAAGAGCAGAUACCUAGAUGUAUAGAUAAAUAUCCGAAAUAAAAUGAUGUAACUAUUAUAAUGACUCUGUUCAUUAACACCUCAGUUAAUACAAGAGAAAUUGUGGGACAGGUUAUGAUAAAAUUAGGUACCAUGAAUAAGAGUCACUAAGUUUCUCUGUAUCAAUUAGGAAAGCAGAUUGAAAUGAAGAAUCUCUUGCAGAAAUUAAAGUUUAUACAAUUGGAGGGAAAAUAGGUUUUAGAGGGAAGUUAGAGGAUCAGAGCAAAGUCACUAAUGAGCUCCCUUGAAGCAGGAGCACUGGAGGACAUGGUGGAGCUUGCAGGGAGAUCUGGAGUUCAGUCACGUCGAGCUUAGACUGCAAAGGGAACUGGUGGAGAAGUCUGUGGAAAACUGUUUCCCUCCAAUCUUGUUGCUGUUGGUCAGCAGAAGUAGCAUAUGGGAAAAAGAGAUGUACAUAAGGCAGGAAGAGGAAGAGAAUAAAUUGGGGUUCACUAGCACCUCUUUCUCUGUCUUCUAGGGCAGGGAAGAGCAAGGGUAAACUCAAACUUACAUGCAUCUCCAUGCCUCCUUCUCACUGUAUCUAACCCAUGACAGCCUCAGAGAAUAAUGGCUACCAACUCACUCUGUUUCCCUAAUCUCACUUUUGCUUCCAAAAUUUCAUUUUGCACCAACAGAAAACCUGGACCGCACAGGGAGGAGGAUUCUGAGAAAUGCACUGUCAGUUUGGCCGAGUUGACACUGAAUGGUAGCACCACACAGUACAAUUCAAUGAACAGAUACUGAGUAUUUACUCUGCACCUAAUCUUAUGUUACGAGAUAAGAGACACUGUCUAUAUCCUCAGCAAGAGAGCCAUUCAUUAAGGGGAAAAAAACAUUGUAAUCAAGGUGGGAAGAAUAAUUCUAACUCUGAUGGUUGGGUAACUCAACACUAUACUCAGCCCAUUUCUCUCUGGCUCAUUAUCUCUACAAGAGAAGAUGAAGAAAUUAAUUAAUCAGUUUGACAGCCUCCUUUGUAGCUAGGAGUAAUCAUGUGAUGAAAUUAUUGCAAAUUGGAUCUAAUUGGAAUUCUAACUGGUGCUUUGGGAAAGCUUAAUUUUUUUCUAAUGAUGAGAGAAAGCCCAGCUCUGACCUUGAAGGUGGAUAUGAAUCUAUUGUGUUAGUGACCAUCUUUCAACUAUGAGGAAUGGCCAAGAGAAUUUCAGAGAUGCUGCCCUAGACUUUGCUGAUGUACUAAAUGCCAAGAGACGUCAUAUUCUAGAUUUCUCAAUAAGUAAGAAAGACUAAACUCAUUUAUUGACGCCCUUGUACUUUGAGUUUCCCAUUACCUGCAAUUAAAUACAGCCCUAUUUCACUAUAGAAAUAGCUAUAGUGAAGAAAAGAGAAAAAAAAAUCAAGAACAGCUUCCCUAAGGAAGACACAGCUGCACUGGUUUUUGAAUGUCCAUGUGGAUAAAGAUAGAGAAUUUUACCGAGGUAUGUAAAUGCAUAACAACACAAUAUAUGAGCAGGUGCUUUACUACAUUAAAGCAGAGAUGUUUCUUAUGGUAUCUCCAUGUCCCACAAGUUCAGUAUAUAUCAUCCAGUUGAAAAUUAAUGGAAAUAAACAGAAUCUAAUGUUUUUAAACCUUCUCUAACAGCAUUGAGGUCUGAGUAGGGCAAUACUCAGAAUGAAUAUUCCAUCAUUGAUUGAUAUUGGAUGAGUGCUUUGGAGAGAAGCAAUCAGAACCAGAUAUUGUUGAUAAGAACAAUGGACUAUUAUUAGCUCAAGUGCAAAUGAGGGGAAAUCAGUUAGGGACUGGCUAAAAUCAGUAGCUUAGAACAUAUAAUAUUAUGUUGAUAUAUGUGCUAGCACUUCUUUAUGCAUAAAAGACAGACAUCAUUUUCUCGCCCUAGUCACCUGCUGAUCCAGGCUCAUCUUCAGAAUCCUUCUCAACAUAGGACUUCAGUUGAUCACUGUUUAUCAAUUUAGAAUUGGUAUGUGAGAAAAAAAUCACUUGCAAGCAUCAUCUUGAAAUACUAUUGGAGAUGAGGAACUUGAAAAUGAAAACCUCAGGGCAAUCCUUACAUUUCAGGUAAAUAUAAAAACACGGGCAUGAGAGGUAUAAAAGAAGAGUUUAGCAUGAGGAGAAUGCGAUAACCAUCAUACUACAGAAACUUGAUAAGAGUUCAGUGAUGGAAAGGAAAAAUUUUGUAUCUGAUAGUUCUUCUGGGUUUGAAUUCUGGAUGCUGCUUGGGGGGAAUUUUUCUCUCCGUUUUCACCAUCUCUAAAAAUGUGGUAAAAAUACCUAACUCAUAGAUAUAUUGUAAGUGAUCAAUUAAUUUAUGUGAAAAUAUCUAUAAAAUAUCUGUGAUGAUAGAAUGAUAACAAUAAGUCUUAGAGCAUUUGUAUUUGAAUUCAAGGAGGAAAAAGCAAUUGUGACUAGCAAGUGGGAAUCUUAUCCAAUGGAAAUUCUUGGGCCAUUUCUAAUUUGAAUGGAAUUAAGAACACAUAUGAAGGGAGUUCCUGUCAUGGCACCGUGGAAAUGAAUCUGACCAGGAACCAUGAGGUUGUGGGUUCAAUCCCUGGCCUCCCUCAGUGGGUUAAGGAUCUGGCGUUGCAAUGAGCUAUGGUGAAGGUCGCAGACUCAGCCGGAUCCUAUGUUGCUGUGGCUGUGGCAUAGGCCAGCAGCUGUAGCUCCCAUUGGAUCCCUAGCCUGGU
Molecule: long non-coding RNA, 5341 nt
Filed under: Sus scrofa (pig)
Lineage: Eukaryota; Metazoa; Chordata; Mammalia; Artiodactyla; Suidae
Description: lncRNA (ENSSSCG00000057345.1)
Source: RNAcentral